Molecule: ribosomal RNA, 772 nt
Filed under: uncultured bacterium
Lineage: Bacteria
Description: bacterial SSU rRNA
Rfam family: Bacterial small subunit ribosomal RNA
Source: RNAcentral
AGAGUUUGAUCCUGGCUCAGGAUGAACGCUAGCGGCAGGCUUAACACAUGCAAGUCGAACGGCAGCAAGGGUAGCAAUACCUGUUGGCGAGUGGCAAACGGGUGCGGAACACGUACGCAACAUACCCUUGUCUGGGGCAUAGCCUUCUGAAAAGGAGAUUAACACCCCAUAAGAUAAUGGAGUGGCAUCACUCAGUUAUAAAAAAUUCAUUGGACAGGGAUUGGCGUGCGUCCUAUUAGCUAGUUGGUAAGGGUAACGGCCUACCAAGGCGACGAUAGGUAGCUGGUGUGAGAGCACGACCAGCCACACGGGCACUGAGACACGGGCCCGACUCCUACGGGAGGCAGCAGUGAGGAAUAUUGGUCAAUGGACGCAAGUCUGAACCAGCCAUGCCGCGUGAAGGAUGAAGGCGUUCUGCGUUGUAAACUUCUUUUGCGGGGGAAGAAACCUCUCUUUUCUAAGAGAGCCGACGGUACCCCGAGAAUAAGCACCGGCUAACUCCGUGCCAGCAGCCGCGGUAAUACGGAGGGUGCAAGCGUUAUCCGGAUUUACUGGGUUUAAAGGGUGUGUAGGCGGACUUUUAAGUCAGCGGUGAAAUCUCCGGGCUCAACCCGGAAACUGCCAUUGAUACUAUUUGUCUUGAAUGUUGUUGAGGUGGGCGGAACGGGUCAUGUAGCGGUGAAAUGCGUAGAUAUGACCCGGAACACCGAUUGCGAAGGCAGCCCACUAAGCAACGAUUGACGCUGAGGCACGAAAGCGUGGGGAUCAAACA